GUUUUAAUAGUUUAAAAAAAACGUCGGUCUUGUAAACCGAAAAUAAGAACCCCCCUUUUUAAAACU
RNAcentral lists this transfer RNA (66 nucleotides) under Ceracris fasciata fasciata. RNAcentral's name for it is "tRNA-Thr". It matches the Rfam family "tRNA". Rfam says of the family: Transfer RNA (tRNA) molecules are approximately 80 nucleotides in length. Their secondary structure includes four short double-helical elements and three loops (D, anti-codon, and T loops). Further hydrogen bonds mediate the characteristic L-shaped molecular structure. tRNAs have two regions of fundamental functional importance: the anti-codon, which is responsible for specific mRNA codon recognition, and the 3' end, to which the tRNAs corresponding amino acid is attached (by aminoacyl-tRNA synthetases). tRNAs cope with the degeneracy of the genetic code in two manners: having more than one tRNA (with a specific anti-codon) for a particular amino acid; and 'wobble' base-pairing, i.e. permitting non-standard base-pairing at the 3rd anti-codon position. The record is from RNAcentral. RNAcentral also lists the same sequence under 1 other name. Lineage: Eukaryota; Metazoa; Arthropoda; Insecta; Orthoptera; Acrididae.